RNAcentral lists this long non-coding RNA (305 nucleotides) under Zostera marina. RNAcentral describes it as "long non-coding RNA (ZMAR_LNC003338)". The record is from RNAcentral. Lineage: Eukaryota; Viridiplantae; Streptophyta; Magnoliopsida; Alismatales; Zosteraceae.
CUGGCCUUUUAGUUUUUGAGUUGCCAGGUUGUUGCCCUGGCGCCUCCUGAGAAUUCGCUCCUCCUCCUUGGGAAGUGCUUCGAGUUACCACCAUCCUUGAGUGUUCGACUUUUCCUGGAAGGAGUGUUCGACUUUUGCCUGGAGAGGAAAGUCGAUCUUCAAGAAGUCGAUCCCUAGUGCACUUGGAGGAUUCCUUGGAAGCCGAUGUUCGAAAGCCUAGCUCCUUGAGGGGUCGACUUUUCUUCGGAAGAAAAAGUCGAUCUCCUGAAAUGUCGAUCCCUUGCUGGCUGAUUUCCUCGCAAAAC